UACGUAGGGGGCUAGCGUUGUCCGGAAUCAUUGGGCGUAAAGAGCGUGUAGGCGGUCCGGUAAGUCCGUUGUGAAAGUCAGGGGCUCAACCCUUGAAUGCCGGCGGAUACUGUCGGGCUAGAGUCCGGAAGAGGCAAGUGGAAUUCCCGGUGUAGCGGUGAAAUGCGCAGAUAUCGGGAGGAACACCUAUGGCGAAGGCGGCUCGCUGGACCGGUUCUGACGCUGAGGCGCGAAAGCGUGGGGAGCAAACGGG
This 253-nucleotide ribosomal RNA is filed under the name uncultured bacterium. RNAcentral describes it as "partial 16S ribosomal RNA". It matches the Rfam family "Bacterial small subunit ribosomal RNA", at positions 524 to 776 of the family's 1533-position model. The record is from RNAcentral.